AGAGUUUGAUUAUGGCUCAGAACGAACGCUGGCGGCAUGGAUUAGGCAUGCAAGGUCGAACGGGAGCAGCAAUGCUCCAGUGGCGCAAGGGUGAGGAACACGUGAACAACCUGCCUUCGAGUUGGGGAUAGCUUCUGGAAACGGGAGAUAAUACCGAAUAACAUCAUCGGAUCGCAUGAUCUGGUGAUCAAAGCAGCAAUGCGCUUGAAGGAGGGGUUCGCGUCCCAUUAGCUAGUUGGUGAGGUAACGGCCCACCAAGGCGAUGAUGGGUAGCUGGUCUGAGAGGACGAUCAGCCACAUUGGGACUGAGAUACUGCCCAGACUCCUACGGGAGGCUGCAGUCGAGAAUUUUGGGCAAUGGACGAAAGUCUGAACCCCCAGCAAUGCCGCGUGCGGGAUGAAGGUCUUCGGAUUGUAAACCGCUGUCAAGAGGGACGAAAUUUGACGGUACCUCUGGAGGAAGCCGCGGCUAACUACGUGCCAGCCGCCGC
RNAcentral lists this ribosomal RNA (491 nucleotides) under uncultured bacterium. RNAcentral's name for it is "bacterial SSU rRNA". It matches the Rfam family "Bacterial small subunit ribosomal RNA", at positions 8 to 518 of the family's 1533-position model. The record is from RNAcentral.